AUUGAACGCUGGCGGCAUGCCUUACACAUGCAAGUCGAACGGCAGCACGGGUGCUUGCACCUGGUGGCGAGUGGCGAACGGGCGAGUAACACGUGGGUGAUCUGCCCUGCACUUCGGGAUAAGCCUGGGAAACUGGGUCUAAUACCGGAUAGGACUCCGGACUGCAUGGUCUGGGGUGGAAAGCUUUUGCGGUGUGGGAUGGGCGCGCGGCCUAUCAGCUUGUUGGUGGGGUGAUGGCCUACCAAGGCGACGACGGGUAGCCGGCCUGAGAGGGUGACCGGCCACACUGGGACUGAGAUACGGCCCAGACUCCUACGGGAGGCAGCAGUGGGGAAUAUUGCACAAUGGGCGCAAGCCUGAUGCAGCGACGCCGCGUGAGGGAUGACGGCCUUCGGGUUGUAAACCUCUUUCAGCAUCGACGAAGCGAAAGUGACGGUAGGUGCAGAAGAAGGACCGGCCAACUACGUGCCAGCCGCCGCCGUAA
RNAcentral lists this ribosomal RNA (484 nucleotides) under uncultured bacterium. Its description in RNAcentral is "partial 16S ribosomal RNA". It matches the Rfam family "Bacterial small subunit ribosomal RNA", at positions 28 to 523 of the family's 1533-position model. The record is from RNAcentral.